GGUGCCCUCCCUAGUCUGUACCAAAUCCUUACACACCGACGACACAGGAUCGAAAAUUUCUCGGCGGCGGCGGCGACGGCGACGACCAAGAUCCUGAGCCAAGCUAGGCGGGCUCGAGCAGCAAAGAUGCUGAUCCAUCUCCUCUCCGAUGGCUCCUAGGUCCUAGCCGUUUCGUCGCAGGUGGCGCAGUUUGAGGCAGAUUAGAUCGGAUUCCUCACCUCCUCCCCACUCUCAGGCUCCCAGAUCAGCUCGCGGCCGUCCUCCUCCACCCCCACCCCCUCUCGCGAUUCAGCACUAGCUCAACGCUCGUGGAUCCUCGCCUCCUUCCCAGCCGGCCGCUCUCUGGUUCUGCGAACAGGCCGCCACGGUUCUUCGUUCUGCAGUUGCUGGAGUAGUAACAGCAGAAGAAUGAACAGCAGCUUGAGUAGAAUAGAAGCAGAUCCAUUCUGGUGAUGCUUAUGUUGGUUGGAUUCUUAUUUUAUCCAGAAGCAGCAUGUUGAUUAGUGCUAUGACUUAGUUAUGGUAUUGUGUAUUGCUACCAGAAGCAGCACGUGUACCGACUGUACAUAAACGCUAACCGAUUUCUAGCAUGAAGCAAUACACUAGCAAAUCUAGCUAUUCCGGCGAGAUGCACUAGUACAGGAAGUAGGCUGCUCUGGCUUCGUCGAUUCUUCAGCGGCAAGCCGACACGCACACACGAUCCAGUAAUGGAGGGUAGCAGUGCGAUGUCUCCGCUAGGAGAGCCCUCAAUUCCAAUGAUCGCAGCAUGUGCACCAGCACUAUCACGUGUGAGAAUAGCGGUAGAUCGAACUGAUCAAGUGUCCAUGGAGGUUGUCAUCUCUCUCCCAGCAGGAAGCUCGAUUGCCAGGAAGCACUAACACGAGGCAAAAUGAUAGAUAUUUUCGUUCUUGUACCAGCAAGAUGCUUGUUGGGCGAUGAUAAUUUCAGUCUUUACCACUUGGUCUUGCCGGCCAUAUACUAAAAAUAAUCUGUAUGCCACAUGUACUCAAGUACUCAAAUGCUUGCUAAGCACUGAUAAUUCCAGUCCUUAAUUUG
RNAcentral lists this ribosomal RNA (1056 nucleotides) under Triticum aestivum (bread wheat). RNAcentral describes it as "partial small subunit ribosomal RNA". Lineage: Eukaryota; Viridiplantae; Streptophyta; Magnoliopsida; Poales; Poaceae. The record is from RNAcentral.